AAACAUCAAACCCACUGGCUUUGCGGUCGGUGCGGUUUGGACUUGGGGGUUCUUUGCUGCCGCUUGCGGUGGCUCCCCUUAAAUGAAUCGGUCGGGCUUUCGUGUGGCUUGUCCCUUGGCGUUGUAUUACCCUCGUCGCUGGACGGCCCGCGUGUUUGCGCCCCUCCUUGACUUGCCUUUGGAGUGGCGGUCAAUUGCUUUGUG
RNAcentral lists this unclassified non-coding RNA (204 nucleotides) under uncultured Trechisporales. RNAcentral describes it as "sequence contains ITS2". The record is from RNAcentral. Lineage: Eukaryota; Fungi; Basidiomycota; Agaricomycetes; Trechisporales. RNAcentral also lists the same sequence under 1 other name.